UGGUGACACCCGACCCCUUGCUGCCUG
Molecule: non-coding RNA, 27 nt
Filed under: Mus musculus (house mouse)
Lineage: Eukaryota; Metazoa; Chordata; Mammalia; Rodentia; Muridae
Source: RNAcentral